This 1102-nucleotide long non-coding RNA is filed under the name Sus scrofa (pig). Its description in RNAcentral is "lncRNA (ENSSSCG00065047484.1)". The record is from RNAcentral. Lineage: Eukaryota; Metazoa; Chordata; Mammalia; Artiodactyla; Suidae.
GUUAUACACCUAAGUUCCGCUUGAAAAGAGAGAAACGGUCUGGUGUUUCCUGCUAUUGGAGGUCUGGGACAUGAGGACAAACCAGCACAAAUUUCAUGGAAAUAGGAAGGUGCACAGGAGAUGACGGUGUUCUGGAAACUCAGUGGAGAAAAGACUUAAGGAGGAUAAAGUGACCCAGACUGUCAAAUGCUGCCGCCAGUUGAGUGAGCAGAGAACAGAGGACGGAGGAGCAGCACGGGUGAGACCCUGACCGAAGUGGCUUCAGCGAGAAUAGUGGAGAGAGACUGGAGACGGUCAGCAUGCACCAUUAUUUUGAAGGAUUUUGCUUUAAGGGGGAGCAGAGAAAACAGUCCUGUAGCCGGAAGCACAGAGGAGCGUUGUCUCAGGAUGCGAAAGAGCUGCUGAGGGAGGGAGGCUCCCUGAACACUUACCAAACGGAAACAAGAUGGCAGACCGACUGCCACCACUGAGUGCCACCCAACGUCCAAGCAAGACCCGAUCCUAAUCUUAGACAAGACUUUCCAGAGAACCAGUGAAGAGGAGACCCCGUCCAUGUCAUUUUAUGAGGCCGUCUAACCUCGAUGCCAAAACCUGACAAGGACACAAGGAAGGGAAAAUUAUAGGCCAAUCUCACACGUAAAUAUAAAUGCAAAAGUUUUACACACAGCUUUGGUGCAGGAUACCCUCGGUCUCAAUUAUUUGUUGCCCCAUCCUAUGGGAGAACGAUACUUCCACUCUCUGUGGGUAUCAGGCGUGGUUAAAGGACUUGCUUAAGCCGAUAAAAUGUGAGCAAAAGUGACCCACCUCCUUUUCAAGUGGAGGAUUCAGGAACCAUUGUGUGGCUCUGCCCUUAAUGCUUCUGUGCCCUGAACAGAUUGUCCUAGACGAGGUGAGGUCUGGUCUACCUGUCGGGGUUGCAGAACAAAGAAAAGGUCAUUUUGGUUUUGUGGGGCAUCUAGAGGAAGCGGUCCAACCGUAUGUAGGCUGCUAUUUUCUCCAAAGCCUCCAAACAGCCCAUGAAAGCCUUUGGAUUUGAAAAUCCAUCCAGGCUCUUGGGCUCAAAGAAGUGGUUCUGAUCUAGGACAUCAUCGAUGAGGAAAUC